This 356-nucleotide ribosomal RNA is filed under the name uncultured fungus. Its description in RNAcentral is "SSU rRNA". It matches the Rfam family "Eukaryotic small subunit ribosomal RNA", at positions 21 to 371 of the family's 1831-position model. Lineage: Eukaryota; Fungi. The record is from RNAcentral.
UGUAGUCAUAUGCUUGUCUCAAAGAUUAAGCCAUGCAUGUCUAAGUACAUACUUUUGCACGGUGAAACCGCGAAUGGCUCAUUAAAUCAGUUAUGGUUCCUUAGAUCGUUCAUAUUACAUGGAUAACUGUGGUAAUUCUAGAGCUAAUACAUGCAAAAAGCUCCGACCGUAUGGGAAGAGCGCUUUUAUUAGACCAAAACCAAUGGGGUCGCAAGAUCCCUUUGUAUGGCGACUCUGGAUAACUUUGUGCUGAUCGCAUGGCCUCGAGCCGGCGACGUAUCUUUCAAAUGUCUGCCCUAUCAACUUUCGAUGGUAAGCGAUUUGCCUACCAUGGUUGCAACGGGUAACGGGGAAUG